Molecule: ribosomal RNA, 420 nt
Filed under: Fusobacteriota bacterium
Lineage: Bacteria; Fusobacteriati; Fusobacteriota
Description: Fusobacteria bacterium partial 16S ribosomal RNA
Rfam family: Bacterial small subunit ribosomal RNA
Source: RNAcentral
UGGGGGAUAUUGCACAAUGGGCGAAAGCCUGAUGCAGCGACGCCGCGUGGGGGAUGAAGGCCUUCGGGUUGUAAACUUCUUUUGCUCUGAACAAGGCAUGCCUUUGGGGUGUGUUGAGUGUAGGGGUUGAUUAGCGCCGGCUAACUACGUGCCAGCAGCCGCGGUAAUACGUAGGGCGCGAGCGUUGUCCGGAAUUAUUGGGCGUAAAGGGCUUGUAGGUGGCUGGUUGCGUCUGUCGUGAAAGCUCAUGGCUUAACUGUGGGUUUGCGGUGGGUACGGGCUGGCUUGAGUGCAGUAGGGGAGGCUGGAAUUCCUGGUGUGGCGGUGGAAUGCGCAGAUAUCAGGAGGAAUACCGGGGGCGAAGGCGGGUCUCUGGGCUGUUACUGACGCUGAGGAGCGAAAGCGUGGGGGGCGAACAGG